Chroicocephalus ridibundus (black-headed gull) is the source of this 1903-nucleotide long non-coding RNA. RefSeq lists it as uncharacterized. The record is from RefSeq and is a predicted model, not a curated record. The transcript has 2 exons. NCBI's taxonomy places the organism in Eukaryota, Metazoa, Chordata, Aves, Charadriiformes, Laridae.
GGACAGCGCGUGAAAAGAGACUGUAAGCCAAUCAUAUAGCUGCCGCUAGCGCGUGCUCUUAUUGCCUGUCUAUAUAUACUCUGUGAAAACUUGAAUAAAGGGAGAACGAUCAUACUCAUAUUGAGACUCCAUCGUUACUCCGGGUCCGUCUCCCACUCCGACAUCCUCCGACAUCUGGUAGCAGAGGAUGGUUCAGCGCGACUGAGUUCUCCGAGACUGCGCUCACAGACAUGGUUGUCAAGAUUUUAAAGGACUGUACUGUAUGAAUCUAAGUGACCACUCCACAUCCAUCCAUGCCCAGCUGCAGGAACUGCACCGACCGAACCAGCAACUUGUGGAGACCACGGGGUGAAAUCUCUUUGCUGGAUGGACUUGGGGGUGGGGUUGGUUGAAGCAAAUUAUACUCAUUGCCUGUGUGGAAGGAAUUUGUCUGUUAUGUUUAGUACGCUGUUUGCCGUGUUUAAUAAGCAUUAUACGAUCAGCUGUAAAUGCCGCUUUGCAUCGUAUCCUUGUACGAGUUGUAGAAUAUGUUGCUCUAAAAACUAUGUGUGUAUCCAUGAGAACCUGACCUUCACAGAAGAAGAUAACAAGAAGGGAUUACAACAAUGUAGUCACGUAUCAGACAGCUGCUGUUAGCAAAGCUGGAUCAUGAGUUUGGUGAGACUCGCUGCAUACACUGGCCACGUGUGCAGCGACUCUGGCCUGUACUUUUCUACUCGAUCCAGCGCAGGAGAGUCUGGUGGGACUCGCUGUGUGCACUGGCCAUGCAUGCAGCGACUCUAGCCUGUACUUCUCCACUCAAUCCAGUGCAGGAUAUAAGGAGGCUGUCUCGGGUCAGAGAGGGGGAGAGAGACAUGAGCACACUUUGAAGGUACAGGGGAUGCCCUGAAGCACUGUGUCUGCCCCCCCCCCCCGCCCCCCCCGUAAGUUUUAUGUUCAUUAACCCCAACAGCUCCGAAGGCAUCACAGCAUGUUGAAAGAUAAGAUAUAGUCUACUACUGCUGCAAGACACAUUGAACACCUUCCUACAAGAAUUUCAACUUUAUGCCCUGAUAGGACAGUGGGAUGAUGCAAAGAGCCUGACUGCAUUAGAGUGGGUAUUUUUGUCACAUACCUUUUCAAAACCAGUAACUAUGAUGAUCGAAAUGUUGCCACGAUUGUUUUUCCAGGGUCGCUCGUGCUGUCAGCAACCGCAAUGUAUUUGAAAUAUUACAAAAGGAUUUCUCGUGGGUAAAUCCAAAGAAAUUGGCUUUCUGGGCUAAAUUUAGGAAUCUGGGUAUUUAUUGCCUUAGCAGGGUUCUUUUUGAUUCUGUUUUUAAUUGUGUUUAGUAUAUAACCUGCUAAGAGCGUCACAACAAGGAUAACAUGUCCAAAUUAAAAGCGGUCAAAAAUGGUUUCGAUGAUUGGUCAAACUCAUGGGGUAUAACGGGAUGGUUAUCAGACUUACUAAAGCAAGGGCUCAUGCUACUGUUGGUUAUAUUAUUAUUGAUUAUGGUAGCCUCAUGUGUUCUCCGCAAAGUGACUGACAUGAUAGAAAAUGCCAUGCAUAAGGUCUGGCUGGCUCAAGAAGAAAAAGGGGGGAUUGUAGGAAUGUGUCUGAGAGAAAAUGGUCACGUGAGCCAGCCUCCCUACUGUGAGAGAUUGGAUUAAGGGCAAAACAGGUGGUAGAAAAUGGAAUUAGGACAUGGGAAAAACGGGAACUGAGAAGGUAGAAAACAUGUUGUGCUAAUGACUAAGCAAUUUACUAUGUGAAUUCUUGUAACCAAUCUGAUCUGUGAAUGAACUGCAUGGACAGCGCGUGAAAAGAGACUGUAAGCCAAUCAUAUAGCUGCCGCUAGCGCGUGCUCUUAUUGCCUGUCUAUAUAUACUCUGUGAAAACUUGAAUAAAGGGAGAACGAUCAUA